CCUACGGGAGGCAGCAGUGGGGAAUAUUGCACAAUGGGGGAAACCCUGAUGCAGCGACGCCGCGUGAGUGAAGAAGUAUUUCGGUAUGUAAAGCUCUAUCAGCAGGGAAGAAAAUGACGGUACCUGACUAAGAAGCCCCGGCUAACUACGUGCCAGCAGCCGCGGUAAUACGUAGGGGGCAAGCGUUAUCCGGAUUUACUGGGUGUAAAGGGAGCGUAGACGGCUGGACAAGUCUGAAGUGAAAUCCCGGGGCUUAACCCCGGAACGGCUUUGGAAACUGAGCAGCUAGAGUGCAGGAGGGGUAAGCGGAAGUCCUAGUGUAGCGGUGAAAUGCGUAGAUAUUAGGAGGAACACCAGUGGCGAAGGCGGCUUACUGGACAGUAACUGACGUUGAGGCUCGAAAGCGUGGGGAGCAAACAGGAUUAGAUACCCUUGUAGUC
RNAcentral lists this ribosomal RNA (440 nucleotides) under uncultured bacterium. RNAcentral describes it as "partial 16S ribosomal RNA". It matches the Rfam family "Bacterial small subunit ribosomal RNA", at positions 338 to 795 of the family's 1533-position model. The record is from RNAcentral.